This is a long non-coding RNA of Equus caballus (horse), 1710 nucleotides long. NCBI's taxonomy places the organism in Eukaryota, Metazoa, Chordata, Mammalia, Perissodactyla, Equidae. The record is from Ensembl.
GGCGUGGUGGUGCCCAGGAUCCACGACACGUGACGGCUGCGGAGCACGACAGCCCUAAGACCUUGAGGGAGACGGGGUGGCGCGUGAAUCCUUUCGGAACGAGAACGACAGGAAACGCUGACGGGGACGUGUUCUCGUCUCGAGAACACACCAACGCCUCGCACGGUGUCUGACCCGGGGUGCCUCUGACUUUUGUCAUCAGAGAAGAUCCUGUCGACCGCCCCUCACGCUUUGGGGAAAAGGGGAGAGGGACUCGGUAGCACGGGAGAAGCCAUCCAUCCGCCCUUCCUUUCCGUCUUCACGGCUCCUUCUCGUGGAAAACGAGGAAGCCGUCCGGAGGAACGGAACACUGACCCGGGCCAAAGCGUGGCCCAGCCUGAGCCUCCAAAACCUUCUGCUAAGUGAGAGGUGCCAGACAUCCAAGGCGACCUACGUUGCGAUUCCACACAGAGGAGAGAGCUAGAACGGUCCAACCCUAGAGGGCGACAGCAGAUGGCGGCGGUGGUGGUGGUCGUGGUGAGGCAGAUCCGGGAGUGGGGCCGUUUUUUCUUUCGGAGGGAGGGGAUGGAAACGGAAACCUUCUGGAAAUAGAUAGCCGUGACGGAUGCGCCACCUUGGGGAGGAGACUCCCGAAGGCCACUGGCUUGUGCCCCGUGGAAAGGAUGGAUUCGGUGGGAUGGGAAUUCUACCUCCGUGUAGAGCGUGUGGUAAACCACGAGGUGGGUGGGUGGGUGGAUGGCCUCCCUGCCUCGCCUCCACCUAGACGUCCACACACAGAGACCGACGAGGGAGGGAGGGAGGGAGAGAGACAAGGUGGACAGAGGCCAAGGCCGAGGCCGAGGCAGUGAGCGAGUAAGUGAUCGACCCUGGCCAUAGGGAUUCCUCAGAGGGCGUCUCUUGGCUCCCCAAACGAAGAAUGUGUGUGGAGAUCGAGAAAGAUCACCGACCUAGGAGAACCAGCAAGACUUCCUCACCCUCCAGAGAGCCGCUGGGCCCCUGCCGUCCCUGCCACCGCCACCCCUACCCCUCGCCUUUGGCAGCGACGCCAACGAAAGGCAGGCAGACGAGUGGGAGAGUCGUGUGGUGGUGUCCCCCAAGGAAGAAAACAAGGGCCGGGGGCCGAGCCCGUGGACGAGCGGUCAAGUACGCGCCCCCACCCCGACCCCCGGCUUCGACGGCCCAGGUUUUCACCGGUUCGGAUCCUGGGCGCAGCCCCAGACCCAGCAUCGCCCUUCAAGCCCACAUAGCAGAAACCCGAAAGACCUACCACUGGAACCUACAACUAUGGAUGGACGGGACGGGACGGGACGGGGCGGGGCGGGGCGGGGCGGGGGAAGAAAGAAAAAAUAAAAGAAACACAAGGACGGUCAUCGCGAUAGUUCUUUCCACUUCCAUCCAUAUGUUAACAGGACCCAAGUUUCCCGACCUCCAUUUGGAUGUAUGUUAACUAAAUGGAGAAGCUAUUCAAAGGACUCCUCUAAAGAAGUCCACGUUCUUCUUUCUAAAUGAUAAUGAAAAUCAUUGUCACCACCGCUCUUCCGACCCUCCAUGUCCAGACGGCCUCCCGCCCCUCCCCCAUCCCCAACUCCCGCCCCGCCCCGCCCCGCGCCGACCCCCGCCCCCCCCCCCCCGGCAUUCGCCCCGCCCACCUUUCCCUCUCCACUCCUACCCCCCCCCCCCGCCGCCCGGGACACCACCCCCCGCACCCCC